GCUCACUUGUGCAUUUUUGGCCUGCAAAGUAGAUGAAUUCAAUGUAUCUAGUCCUCAGUUUGUUGGAAACCUUCGGGAGAGUCCUCUUGGACAGGAGAAGGCACUUGAACAGAUACUGGAAUAUGAACUACUUCUUAUACAGCAACUUAAUUUCCACCUUAUUGUCCACAAUCCUUACAGACCAUUUGAGGGCUUCCUCAUCGACUUAAAGACCCGCUAUCCCGUAUUGGAGAAUCCAGAGAUUUUGAGGAAAACAGCUGAUGACUUUCUUAAUAGAAUUGCAUUGACGGAUGCUUACCUUUUGUACACACCUUCCCAAAUUGCCCUGACUGCCAUUUUAUCUAGUGCCUCCAGGGCUGGAAUUACUAUGGAAAGUUAUUUAUCAGAGAGUCUGAUGCUGAGAGAGAACAGAACUUGCCUGUCACAGUUACUAGAUAUAAUGAAAAGCAUGAGAAACUUAGUAAAAAAGUAUGAACCACCCAGAUCUGAAGAAGUUGCUGUUCUGAAACAGAAGUUGGAGCGAUGCCAUUCUGCUGAGCUUGCACUUAACGUAAUCACGAAGAAGAGGAAAGGCUAUGAAGAUGAUGAUUACGUCUCAAAGAAAUCCAAACAUGAGGAGGAAGAAUGGACUGACGACGACCUGGUAGAAUCUCUCUAACCAUUUGAAGUUGAUUUCUCAAUGCUAACUAACUAAUCAAGAGAAGUAGGAAGCAUAUCAAACGUUUAACUUUAUUUAAAAAGUAUAAUGUGAAAACAAAAUAUAUUAAAACUUUUCUAUUG
RNAcentral lists this small RNA (780 nucleotides) under Pongo abelii (Sumatran orangutan). Its description in RNAcentral is "retained intron". Lineage: Eukaryota; Metazoa; Chordata; Mammalia; Primates; Hominidae. The record is from RNAcentral.